UAUGUGAUCGUCUCUCGCAUAUCAAUAAGCGGAGGAAAAGAAACUAACAAGGAUUCCCCUAGUAACGGCGAGUGAAGCGGGAAGAGCUCAAAUUUGAAAUCUUAAAGGGUUUCCCUUUACGAAUUGUAGUUUAAAGAAGUGUUUUCUGUUGAGGUUUUGGUAAAAGUUCUUUGGAAUAGGACAUCAUAGAGGGUGAGAAUCCCGUAUUUGACCUUUACUUUCAACUUUGUGAUACACUUUCAAAGAGUCGGAUUGUUUGGGAAUGCAGUCCAAAAUGGGUGGUAAAUUUCAUCUAAAGCUAAAUAUUGGCGAGAGACCGAUAGCGAACAAGUACCGUGAGGGAAAGAUGAAAAGAACUUUGAAAAGAGAGUUAAACAGUACGUGAAAUUGUCAAAAGGGAAGCGUUUGACACCAGUGUUGUUUUUCUGAAAAUCAAUUAAAGAACUGUUUAUGCUAAGUUGUUUAGACUUUAUCAGCUAUCUGCUUAGUUUUGAGCAUUUCUUUAAUGCACUUUCAGUUAACAAGUCAACAUCAAUUUCUUUUGCUGUAAAAAAGCUUGAGGAAGGUGGCUUGAGAUUCGUCUUAAGUGUUUAUAGCCUCUUGCCUAUGCAGUCGGAGAGAUUGAGGUCUGCAGCGUAGAUCCUUCGGGGCUAAAUGCAUUUGUGCUAAGUUAUAGCAUUUUAUAGACAACUUGUUGACUAUGAUUUGUCUUGUAGCUUACUCGCUUAUGUUAUUUUACCUACGCUUAGGAUGUUGAGUAGCGACAUACGCAC
This 773-nucleotide ribosomal RNA is filed under the name uncultured Neocallimastigales. Its description in RNAcentral is "partial large subunit ribosomal RNA". It matches the Rfam family "Eukaryotic large subunit ribosomal RNA", at positions 24 to 649 of the family's 3401-position model. The record is from RNAcentral. Lineage: Eukaryota; Fungi; Neocallimastigomycota; Neocallimastigomycetes; Neocallimastigales.